RNAcentral lists this ribosomal RNA (253 nucleotides) under uncultured bacterium. Its description in RNAcentral is "partial 16S ribosomal RNA". It matches the Rfam family "Bacterial small subunit ribosomal RNA", at positions 524 to 776 of the family's 1533-position model. The record is from RNAcentral.
UACGUAGGUGGCAAGCGUUGUCCGGAUUUACUGGGCGUAAAGGAUGCGUAGGUGGAUAUUUAAGUGGGAUGUGAAAUACCCGGGCUCAACUUGGGUGCUGCAUUCCAAACUGGAUAUCUAGAGUGCAGGAGAGGAAAGUGGAAUUCCUAGUGUAGCAGUGAAAUGCGUAGAUAUUAGGAGGAACACCAGUGGCGAAGGCGGCUUUCUGGACUGUAACUGACACUGAGGCAUGAAAGCGUGGGGAGCAAACAGG